RNAcentral lists this ribosomal RNA (818 nucleotides) under Opiliones sp. NZAC03010377. RNAcentral's name for it is "eukaryotic LSU rRNA". It matches the Rfam family "Eukaryotic large subunit ribosomal RNA", at positions 397 to 944 of the family's 3401-position model. Lineage: Eukaryota; Metazoa; Arthropoda; Arachnida; Opiliones. The record is from RNAcentral.
GCGUGAAACCGUUUAGAGGUAAACGGGUGGGCCCUCGAAGGUGAUCGUCGGAGGGAUUCAGUCGGACGUGACCGUAAGCGUCGCUCGUCUCUAACGGUGCGGACCUCGGUCGGCCGGGCGGGCGAAGGCUGCGGGCCGUUUGGCGCAUUUCCUUCCGUUCGAACUACGCUGCGACCAGUCUGGUCACUGAAAGUUGUCGGCCUUGAAGACGGACGACGGAAGGUGGCCGGCGGCGACUCUCGCGGUUACCGCCGGUGUUUAUAGCCAGUUCGUUUCACGAGUGAGCGUUCACCAGACUGGGGACGAUUUUUAGCCCUGUGCGGGCUACGCCGAGCACUCCCUCGUUGGAGCGUUGCGGGGUGACUGGAUGUGUCCGCGGUUUUUGGGAGCCUCACCUUAGCGUGGACUACCGCCGCGGAUCUCCGUAAGCUCAUUCCGUACUCGCCGUUGCUCAGGUGGUCAGCAGCGAGUAGGUCGGUAACCCACCCGACCCGUCUUGAAACACGGACCAAGGAGUCUAACAUGUGCGCGAGUCAUUGGGUCUUGAUUAGGCCCAAAGGCGUAAUGAAAGUGAAGGGCGGUUCGGCCGUCUGCCUUGGGAUCCCGUGGACCUCGCGUUCGCGGGCGCACCAAGGGCCCGUCCCGGUCGCCUCGUCGACGGGGCGGAGCAAGAGCGUACACGUUGGGACCCGAAAGAUGGUGAACUAUGCCUGGGCAGGACGAAGCCAGAGGAAACUCUGGUGGAGGUCCGCAGCGAUUCUGACGUGCAAAUCGAUCGUCAGACCUGGGUAUAGGGGCGAAAGACUAAUCGAACCAUC